Molecule: unclassified non-coding RNA, 254 nt
Filed under: uncultured Planctomycetota bacterium
Lineage: Bacteria; Pseudomonadati; Planctomycetota
Description: uncultured planctomycete contains 16S-23S intergenic spacer region
Rfam family: Bacterial small subunit ribosomal RNA
Source: RNAcentral
UACGUAGGUGGCAAGCGUUGUUCGGAAUCACUGGGCAUAAAGCGUCUGUAGGCGGCCUUCUAAGUCUGUAUGUGAAAGCCCUCGGCUUAACCGAGGAACUGCAUCGGAUACUGGGAGGCUUGAGGCCCGGAGGGGAGAGCGGAAUUCCUGGUGGAGCGGUGAAAUGCGUAGAUAUCAGGAGGAACGCCGGUGGCGAAAGCGGCUCUCUGGUCGGCGCCUGACGCUGAGAGACGAAAGCCAGGGGAGCGAACGGG